Long non-coding RNA from Acipenser ruthenus (sterlet), 760 nucleotides. RefSeq lists it as uncharacterized. The transcript is spliced from 3 exons. The record is from RefSeq and is a predicted model, not a curated record. Lineage: Eukaryota; Metazoa; Chordata; Actinopteri; Acipenseriformes; Acipenseridae.
UAAAACAGCUGCAAUCGACUAGCUGUGCGUUUUGCUGCUCUGGUCUUACAGCUGUCUGAUGAUGGUGAAACCUCCCUGAUUACGUUGUAGGGGAGGUCACAAGCUGUCCAAUGAUACCUUGACUUUGUUUGUAGCCCAAUCCAUUACAGAGUAAUCGAUCUGCGCAGUAAACAUACCCCUAUCUAUUGCAACCGAGUGCGCAGCGGUAUGCACAACGGAUCACGGUUUUAUAACAUUUUCUGAUCAUUUUUCAAUUUAUAAAAUUUGUAAAAUCGAACAAAAUGUCGAGCAGUGUUCCAAAGCAUCCUAAACAAAGUAGAUUCAGUCUUUCUGAAGUUUUGGAAGAGAUGGAUAGGAGUGAAAGUGAUUGCGAAAAUGAUCAACUUCCUGGUUUGGCGAGCGUUGAUUCAGUGUCUGAAGCAGCAUUGAAGAUGGAUUGGAUCCUCUUCAGAAUUUUGAGGACACUGAAGAAAACCCUCCCCCCUCAACAAAUGGCUAACACAGAUCCGGAGCUGUCGCCAAGGGCCAGCACUAAACCGGACAUGCACGUCACCAUUGUCACGGAUAUAAACUUGUAUCACCCACCAUGAGCACUACUGCACACACCCAGGACUGGUGACCGUGUUUGCAUUAUUCUGGGGUGGAUAUCUUUUAUUAUUUGUUAUUUACCCCGUGCUGUACACAUUGGUGUGUAUUGCCAGGGAUUUAUUGUUUAAUUCUAUUUUAAUGCAUUCAAUAAAACAAAGCAUUUUUGUUUCAA